RNAcentral lists this transfer RNA (114 nucleotides) under Diplodia corticola. RNAcentral's name for it is "Botryosphaeria corticola tRNA". It matches the Rfam family "tRNA". Rfam says of the family: Transfer RNA (tRNA) molecules are approximately 80 nucleotides in length. Their secondary structure includes four short double-helical elements and three loops (D, anti-codon, and T loops). Lineage: Eukaryota; Fungi; Ascomycota; Dothideomycetes; Botryosphaeriales; Botryosphaeriaceae. The record is from Rfam by way of RNAcentral.
GGUGGUGUGGUCCAAUGGCAAGAUGCCACGUUGUGGUGCUCUUGGAGCGCUGCCACAGCCUCCAACAUCAUCAACAAUUCCGUGUCGAUCUGGGUUCGAUUCCCAGCACCGCCA